Mustela erminea (ermine) is the source of this 1257-nucleotide long non-coding RNA. RefSeq lists it as uncharacterized. The record is from RefSeq and is a predicted model, not a curated record. Lineage: Eukaryota; Metazoa; Chordata; Mammalia; Carnivora; Mustelidae. The transcript is spliced from 2 exons.
AUUAAAAUAAAAUUAGUGGAGACAUAAAAUAUGGGCAUCUCAUUACCUUUUAUUAAUAGAAGUUAUCUAAAAUUUUUAAAAAGUAAAAAUAAAUAAAGCCAGAAUGAUGGGGGAGGGGGAACAAGUCCCAGUGUGCACUCUUUAAUGACCUGUGGAGGGUUGGUAAGGUUAGUUAAGGUGUCUUCCAAGACCAUGGGCUGCAGAAGAAACUGCCCUGUCUGUAGUCCUGCUAAAGAGGCAACCUUAGGCAGUGAUGUUGCCAUUAUCACCUCUGCUUUCUCCUCCUCCUCCCUCUAGCAGCCAUAACUGUUUGCACCUUGGUAGUGUCAGUUGACCAAUGGAUAUGAAUCCAGAGAGGGGCCAGCCCCUGACCGUACAGGACAAUCUGAUCCCUGUCUGAACUGAGGCAGUAAGUAGCAGGAGUUGUAGUUGUGAGAUGCUUCAUAAGAGGGAAAGAGGUGGAAUAAACAAUAAGGCAGUAGAGCAACAAAGAAAGUGAGUCACCAGAAGACCAGAAACUAUGAGGAAGAGGAAAAGACACCAAUGGAGGGAAAGAACCAGACAGCAGGUGGUAAGAGGAGAAGACAGCAGGUGUGUGGAUAUACCUGGCACAUACGGGCAGAGCACACAGAGGGAGGUAAAUGACAUCUCGGUGUUCCACAAAACAAAAAAGCUUUAAAGCUCCUGUGAUUGAAUUAAAUGGAAAACUAACCAAGUGUACACAACAGGAAUAAAAGGUAAAUAUCAGGGAGGGAUUUUUUUUCUAGUUGUUUUAAUUAUGCAUUUACCCAUUCAGGUUCAAUGUCUUUUCUUUUCAAACCCAGGUCAAUAUUGGAUGUCAAGUAAAGAAACUAACAGUUAAGUUCUGGUUUCAUCCACACACACUCAGCAUGUGAUUUUCAGCCCCUUGUGAUAAACUUCUACAAAGUUGAGUCAAAGAAUCUUUCAAUCAUUAGAUGUGAGUUAGGAGCAACUGAGCUGUUAGUAGACUCUAAACAAAAGUAGAUGAAGAAUGCAUUCAGAGAAUGAAUGGCACCCUGGACAGGGAGAGGAGAGAUCCAAGAAGUGGUCCAAGCUGAUACACAAUGUGAUCUUAGGGGAGUUAACUCGACUUUCUGUGGCUCUACUCAUGAAUCAGAAAGGGAAAAUUUCACUGCCUGCUCUUCCACAAUUCAAUAGGAUUAUACAAAACUGUCAGGGUAAAGUAGCUAAUGUACUAGAUGUAAAGCAAGUUAAAAUCUUACUGAAAAAAAAAAA